This 253-nucleotide ribosomal RNA is filed under the name uncultured bacterium. RNAcentral describes it as "partial 16S ribosomal RNA". It matches the Rfam family "Bacterial small subunit ribosomal RNA", at positions 524 to 776 of the family's 1533-position model. The record is from RNAcentral.
GACGUAGGGCGCGAGCGUUGUCCGGAUUUAUUGGGCGUAAAGAGCUCGUAGGCGGCUUGUUGCGUCGGCUGUGAAAUCCCGUGGCUUAACUGCGGGUCUGCAGCCGAUACGGGCAGGCUGGAGUGAUGUAGGGGAGACUGGAAUUCCUGGUGUAGCGGUGAAAUGCGUAGAUAUCUGGAGGAACACCGGUGGCGAAGGCGGCAUCCUGGACCGGCAUUGACGCUGAGGCGCGAAAGCCAGGGGAGCAAACGGG